Cricetulus griseus (Chinese hamster) is the source of this 2709-nucleotide non-coding RNA. The record is from RefSeq and is a predicted model, not a curated record. Lineage: Eukaryota; Metazoa; Chordata; Mammalia; Rodentia; Cricetidae.
AGGUCUCCUCGGCACUCCUUCCCCGGGCUGCAGUCUACACCGAACCACGGCAGCUCCAUUCGCUGCUGUAACAAGUUGAAAAAAAACUAAUUAAUUCAGACUUUAGUUUUUUUUAAAUUUGUUACAGCGCUGAGCAGAGCUGCCGACCCCAUGCAGAAACAGCACACAGACCAACAAAGGCUCCACUAGGUGCAGAAAACCCUCUGCCCCCAGCCAGACCCGGUCCAGUGAAGACUACAGAACCCAGGCAUGUCAGUCACAAGGACUUUAAAAUGCUAAAGUAUCACUAAAAACAACAACAACGAAACAAAACAAGAAAGGAAGAAAGAAAGAAAAAGAAAGAAAGAAAGAGAAAGAAAGAAGAAAAGGAAAAAAGAAAGAAAAGGAAGACUGACGAAGACCAAAGAAAGCAUUAGAUAAAACCAAGCAAAAGAACACAGGACCCAUAGAGAUUUAAAAGACAUUCAUUGUUCAAAUAAGAAUUCAAAUGAUAAAUAAAUAAGAACUCAAAUGAGAUUCAUACACAGAGGUCAAAGGAGGUCAGACAUUUCCCUAAGGGUUAGGUCACUAAGGAUACAGACAAAAUAACAUUUAUUAAUAUGUAAUAGUUUUUUCUAACUGUAGGCUUCAAAACACAAUGCUAAUUUUGCCCUUCAUUUUUAAAAAGAAAAAGCACAUGUAGACAUGUACACAAGAGCAUAAACACUCCAGUGCAAGCAAGCAAGCAAGCAAGCGUGUGUGUGCACAUGCACACACACACACACACACACACACACACACACACUAAUGCAUAUGCACCACAGGCUUUAUCCUUGAAUUUGAGGGGGUUAUAAAAUUGAUUUUGCUCUUUAAUUUUUUGAGGGUGUUUCAGAUUUUUAUUCCUUGCAUUUUGACCUACCUCUUCAAAGAGAAAAAAGAUUUGAGCUUCUAUGAAAAUAAAGCAAACCAAAGAAUAAUUAUUAUUAUUCAUGGUCAAGUUGGUAAAUUAGCCUGUUCUAAUGACAUGUGCUUACUAUGGCCAUGUGACCCUACAGAUUUGAGGGCUGAUCCUAUUAUUCAAAGUUGUUCAACACAUAUUUGCUUAGGUAAAAAAAAAAAAAAUCAAUGCAUGACCAAUAUUUAAACGUGAGCCAAAAAGCAAUAGAGAAAUAUGAAAUACACAUUCCCUUAUCAACUAGUAAGUGGUUUUAUACUAAAUGCAUAUUAUUAUACCAUUAUGAAUGAAGGGCUCUAUAUAAAUUACACAAAGACUUAUCUGCAUCAUAUCUGCCUAUACUUUGCAAACUCAACCAUCACCUGUAUAUCACUGAGGCUGGGCAUUACUCUUAUAAGUCUCCUCGGCAAAUCUCCCUUCCUCACCAUCAUAACCAAUAUAGGCAUGUUAACAUAGUUCAGAAUAUUCUUGUGAUUACCCCAGAAAAUAAGGGAAUGGAGUAAUGUAUUACAGGCUGGCUGUGAAGUUUUCUUUUGCCCUCCUUCUACAGUUGCCUCUACCUAUAGCACUACAAGAUGGAGAGAAAUGUCUGGCUUUGAAGAAAUAAAAUAGUUUGUAAGCAAAAUAAAAUCUCUAGUGCCUUGUUCUGUGACAUUCAAAGCAAGGGUAUAGGACCUGAUUUACUGCCCCACUUCAACAUUCCCGACAGUAAAAAGGAAUGGGGUAGAGCAAUGACACCCAUUCUGGCUAACCUAAACAUCUCAUUCCUACUCACAGAAAAGGUAGAGCCUCCUGUCCUAGAAAGCAAAACAGAAACAACCUCCCAUCCCAUACGCACAGCUUCUUGAGAAAUCCCCAAAACAGCAGAUCAAGAGCACUACAGAAGCAGUUGCUUUAUUACCUGUCUCUACAUGGGAUAUAGUAACCUUGACUAACAAGCAACAGCUUUUACUUACAGUAAUCAUUCUUUAAACAUAACAUUACAACUGAAGAAGCUAGUUUUCAUGUUAAUUGUAAUGCUACAUAAUCCAUCUUGUCUCUGACUGAGACAAAACUCCCAAAUCACCACCUGCUAAAUUAAAGAGAAGACAAGCACAUAGGAAAAUGAAAAUGAGUAAGAACAAAUAGGGGCCGCAUGUGGAGAGCCCCAGUAAAGAGGACCUCAUUUGGGUCUCAGGAAAGAUGCUAUCUUUGCACUUUUCCAUACUGCCUAUGUCCAGAUUGAGUAGUUGCUUUGAUAAUCCUACUAUCAAAUUCUAGUCCAGGUAAAAACAGAAUCAUUUCACAUGUUGAUUAUACCCAAAAUUCAGCUCAAGUUUCAUUAAUUUCUCAUCUGAAUACUUGAAGGCGAGAGAGGACUCUUCCUUGAUGUUUACUAUAGAUCAAUUUCAAAGGAAACGAACUUUGAAUUCUACCUUACUUCAGAGUUGGUAUUAUUUUGGAAAGUUCUGGUUGCUUUCAGGCUAACAAGAUCUAAGGACAUUUUCUCCCCAGCUCUGAAUUCUCUCCUAGACUAAAAAACAAACAAACAAACAAAAAACAACUGAGCAUCGCCAUUGAGGAUACUGAAGAAUUGCAGGUGACCACCACCCCCAGAAACUGGAAGAGUGAAGGAAGAAGACACUACAGAAGGAUAUCUACCUGUCACAGUAGCCACACAGGGAUGAGCAAACAGUCAUGUAGGCCAAUGGAAAUUCUCUGGUCUGUGCUUUUAAAAAGCUUCGGUAGCUGACAUCCUGGCCCAUUAUUAAUAAACUAUGUCACAUGCAAAGCUA